CCAUAUAACUGCCAUCAAAGUCUAAACCAGUUGACCCGACUUGAAAUUGUCUCUCUUAUGGACUCCAGAUUUAAGGAAAUUGCCGCUGCCGUUGCCCGGCAAUCAUGUCCGAUAUGCCUCUGCCAGAUACACCAUCGGAGCGCGGCGGUUGUUAUCCCAUGUAUGCACGCCUACUGCAUCGUUUGCAUCCGCAGAUGGAGCGAUGUGAAGAGAAAAUGCCCUCUCUGCAACGCCGACUUUGAUUCAUGGUUCUCCAGAAUCAGCUUCUCCUCCCGGACCUUCCAGAAAGAGCAAUUAUCAGCUCGUAACGAGACUAAGAAGUUACACUCAGGUUUUGUUCCCUCUAGGCUGAGAGACCGAUUGGCGGACCGAAGAGUGAUUAGGAGAAGGAGAGAAGAGUUGAAUACUUUUGGCUCCAGAACGAGGCCGUUCCCAAGGCGGCGAUCCUUUGAUCACAAAGGAGCUUUGAAUCCAGAUGAUAUUACUAGGAGAAUCAUUCUCUGGCGUUCCAGCAUUUAUGAAGAGAGAUUGCAGGCUGUUCCUUUUUCAUCUAAAAAUUGCCUUAUGCAGCACAUGGAUAAUAGGAGUACCAAAGAAAAGAUGUUACAGAGAAUAGAACCUUGGAUAAGAAGAGAGCUGCAGGCUAUACUGGGUGAUCCAGAUCCAUCCAUUAUCGUCCAUGUUGCUACCUCACUUUUUAUCACUGAGAAUACACAUUCAACACAGUGGUGCGACAGAAAUGAAUUUCUUGCUCCAUUGCGGCCCUUCUUGCAUGAACGUGCAGAAGUGUUUUGGCAUGAACUAAGGCACAUGUGAAGUGAUCAGAGUUUUUUGUAUUUGCUGGGAUUUGAAUCCUGGUCACCAGGAUAUGCAUCCAUCUUAUUAAUCUCUGCCAUACCCUUUUCGAGAUGCUUUGCCGAGAGCCCUUUCUCUAUGCAAACAUAUGAUACUGUGGUGGAGUACUACUCCUUGGACUAAUUCACCAGUACCAAUCAUCACUGCGUUGGCUACACUCCUGGGGAUAACAAUGGAUUGAGAGGGAUAAGAUAGUGUUGUGUUCCAGCAUAGUCAUCUGAUCAUGACCAUAAGGAUGUUCGAAUCUGAAUUCUUGCAGCAAAUGGAAGAGCAGGCCGCCAGUUUUUCUUCCUUGAUAGCCAGUUAAGAUUGGUUGAAGAGCCCACACUAUGCACUGCUCCUUAUGGAUGAAGUCUUGUUGCCUUGGCUUUGUCUAGGCAGGGAUGAGCAUAUUUGUUGUGCAUAUUCAAUGACCUUUUUCGUGAAGUCCAAGACACAGUAGAAGAGUGACAGGAGUUCCUGAGGAGUUAGCAUUUGGUAGACGAUGUGCUAGUGACCUGUUUGAGCUCAAUAAGACACUGUUUGAAAAGUACGGUUCGACGUUGGUGGACCUAGUUUUUCCAGUUAUAUCCUCUGUGAAGUCCGCAUUUUGAAGAAGGAAGAAGAACCUUGUGUUGAUAGUUUGCGAAGUGGAUGAUAAGCCUUUCAAAUAGAAACUGUACAGGGUUGCGAAUCUCUUGUGUGAAAUGCACAUCGUUGGAAAGAUGUUAACUGCGCAGUGUCAUGUACCAAAUUAGAUGGUAUACAUGUUUCGAUAUUAAAUUAUGUCGUUAAGAUAUGCGUGACUCUGGAAAAUCUUAACUCUUCUACAUAGGACCAAAAGAUUAUGCAUGCAUAAAAAGAGAAAUUCAUUGCAAUCCCAAAUAUAGACAAAAAUUUAUGUAUGUUUACCAGCCACCAAACGUGACAUUUUCCAUUAAUAUAACUGUUUAAAUAUAUAUUUUCAGGGGAAAA
Molecule: non-coding RNA, 1809 nt
Organism: Solanum lycopersicum (tomato)
Lineage: Eukaryota; Viridiplantae; Streptophyta; Magnoliopsida; Solanales; Solanaceae
Source: RefSeq, a predicted model, not a curated record